This 415-nucleotide long non-coding RNA is filed under the name Bos taurus (domestic cattle). RNAcentral describes it as "long non-coding RNA NONBTAT018659". Lineage: Eukaryota; Metazoa; Chordata; Mammalia; Artiodactyla; Bovidae. The record is from RNAcentral.
GGAGCAUUUCGGGAAUGUUUCCCUCAUAACUGCUUUAUCAUUUUGAUCAUAGCAAAGAUUUAUCUCUGUGUUAUUCAACAAUUAGAAGACAAAACCUAAAAAAAAAAUUCCCAUAAAUAGAAGGGAAUAUACAGUUUACUUUAUACACUGUUAAUUUCACCAAAGCCUUGGUUAAUACACCUAAUUCACUGAAGCACUUUGUAACAUUCAAAAGCUGUGCUGAAAAGCUAAAUCAGAGUUGAGAGUAGGUAGAAGAAGGUGCAGGAUAAACCAGAAAAACUAUCCCAAUUCAUCAAUUUUUCUCUAUGUGAAAUGGGCAUUUUAACCAACCAUCAAUUACUAUAUGUUGUAGAUCUUAACCACUGAAAAUGACAGUAAAAUCGCUACAAAGAGGGCUUCAAUCCAUUCAACAUGG